RNAcentral lists this microRNA precursor (175 nucleotides) under Oryza glumipatula. RNAcentral's name for it is "MIR812 microRNA precursor family". The stretch from base 23 to 174 matches the Rfam family "MIR812 microRNA precursor family", at positions 27 to 187 of the family's 205-position model. The record is from Rfam by way of RNAcentral. Lineage: Eukaryota; Viridiplantae; Streptophyta; Magnoliopsida; Poales; Poaceae.
UUCCCGUCCCAUUUUAAGUCUGUUCAACGUUUGUUCGUCCGUCUUAUUUGAAAUAAUUUUCUGAUUAGUAUUUUUAUUGUUGUUAGAUGAUAAAAAUAAAUAGUACUUUAUGUGUGACUUAUUUUUUUAUAUUUUUUUCAAAUAAUACAAAUGGUCAAACGUUGGACACAGAAAA